Molecule: ribosomal RNA, 419 nt
Filed under: bacterium
Lineage: Bacteria
Description: partial 16S ribosomal RNA
Rfam family: Bacterial small subunit ribosomal RNA
Source: RNAcentral
UGGGGGAUAUUGCACAAUGGGCGAAAGCCUGAUGCAGCGACGCCGCGUGGGGGAUGAAGGCUUUCGGGUUGUAAACUUCUUUUGCUCUGAACAAGGCGCACCAUGGGGUGUGUUGAGUGUAGGGGUUGAUUAGCGCCGGCUAACUACGUGCCAGCAGCCGCGGUAAUACGUAGGGCGCGAGCGUUGUCCGGAAUUAUUGGGCGUAAAGGGCUUGUAGGUGGCUGGUUGCGUCUGUCGUGAAAGCUCAUGGCUUAACUGUGGGUUUGCGGUGGGUACGGGCUGGCUUGAGUGCAGUAGGGGAGGCUGGAAUUCCUGGUGUAGCGGUGGAAUGCGCAGAUAUCAGGAGGAAUACCGGUGGCGAAGGCGGGUCUCUAGGCUGUUACUGACACUGAGGAGCGAAAGCAUGGGGAGCGAACAGG